AUUGAACGCUGGCGGCAGGCCUAACACAUGCAAGUCGAGCGGAUGAAGGGAGCUUGCUCCUGGAUUCAGCGGCGGACGGGUGAGUAAUGCCUAGGAAUCUGCCUGGUAGGGGGGGAUAACGUCCGGAAACGGGCGCUAAUACCGCAUACGUCCUGAGGGAGAAAGUGGGGGUUCUUCGGACCUCACGCUAUCAGAUGAGCCUAGGUCGGAUUAGCUAGUUGGUGGGGUAAAGGCUUACCAAGGCGACGAUCCGUAACUGGUCUGAGCGGGUGAUCAGUCACCAUGGAACUGAGACUCGUCCCGCACACCUACGGGAGGAACCAGUGGCGAAUAUUGGACAAUGGGCGCCAACGUGAUACUGUCAAGCAGGGUGUGUGAAGAAGGUCUACGGAUUGUAAAGAUUGUAAAGUUGGGAGGAAGGAUAGUAAGUUAAUUCCGUGCUUUCUUGACGGUACCAUCAGAAUAAGCACCGGCUAACUUCGUG
Molecule: ribosomal RNA, 484 nt
Filed under: uncultured bacterium
Lineage: Bacteria
Description: partial 16S ribosomal RNA
Rfam family: Bacterial small subunit ribosomal RNA
Source: RNAcentral